UUCAAUUAAGUAGUUUUCAUUUGAAAUAAAAAUAUGUGGAUUUAAAUUUAGACUAAUCUUUUUAAAUAAAACUUAAAAUAAUAUACAUUUGAAUUAUUAUAAAUUGAAUCUCGGAACUUUUUACUUACCCUUAACGUGCGAAAAAAAAGGGUGAAAAUUUUCAGAUCAGUAAAGAAGAAACCACCGAGUGAGAUGGAAGGGGCGAAAAACAAGUAGAAAAAAUAAGGUUUAAUACCCAACUUUGUCCCUAGUUUGGUUGGCAAAUCUCAAUUUAGUCUCUCUUUAGAAAAGUGUUUGAAAUUGGUCCUUACUUUUAAAUUUUUGAGUCAAAAUAGUCCCUUCCGUUAAAUAAUGACAAAGUGAUUCUCCCUACACCUCACCAAUCUCACCCUGCACCUCUCUAUUUUUUUAUAUUUCCAAUUGUGUCCUUAUCAGAUAACAUUUUUAAUUGCUUUUUUUAUUUGACCCACUCACGAGGCACUUCGUUCUCUCUAUCUUUUGCCACAUUUCAUACUCUCCUACACCCCCUUUCUUUCUCCUCUUUUUUUUGCAAAGUGUUUCUCCCCCUCCUUCCCUCCUCCCUCGUUUUAUUUGUUGCAAUUUCGCUUUUCAUUCUCACAGACUUAUUUUUGGUGGCUGUGUGGUGGGGUAAGCUCUUGCAGCGGUGGUUGUGGUUGAAGAUCUUGCCACACCUAGAAGUGAGGUUGAGAUGUGGUUCAUGGUAGCCGCACUUGAAAGUGCGAUUGACGCUCGUCGUACUUGGAUUUGCGAUUGAUGUUCUCCGCACUUGAAUCUGCGGUUGAGGCUCGUCGCACUUGGAUUUGCGGUUAACGUUCGUCGCAGUUGGAAUUGGAUGCUCAUGUGUGCCAGAACCUCGCCAUCAACAGUGACCGCAACAACAACUUCCUCGUUUUCAAACACCUAUCCAUAAUGCAGGUUUUAUAAGCCACCAAAGUGUUUUGUGGGUUCAUAAUGAAGAACUGUACAUUCUGAAAGUGCCAAAAAAGGGUGCAGCCGGUGAUGGGUGUAGGUGGAGAAGCCAGAUUAUGGCUUAGAGUCUAGAAGUGAGCUAAAUAGUGAGUGAACACUGUCAAAAGUUAAAGAAGAACCAUUUUUCAUCUUCUCUCUCAUUUACAACAAAAGUACAGAAGAUUGGUUAGAAUAUCAUUUAACUUUUUUCAAAUUUAAUAAAUGAAGGGCAAAAAUGGGUAUUGGGAGGUGUAGGAUGACAUAGAUGAGGUGCAGGGAGGAAUACUCAUAAUGACAAAUAGUUAAAUUUUUUUUCUCUCUCUUCUCAUUUUCUGUGCAUUACAGAUUUUUGUCUGUAUUUACAGUAUUUAAUGAUUAUUGUACUUUUCCAAUAAAAUUUAAUAUCCUUAAUUGAGUGAUGAAGUCAAAAAAAU
This 1403-nucleotide long non-coding RNA is filed under the name Vigna radiata. RNAcentral's name for it is "long non-coding RNA (VRAD_LNC009106)". The record is from RNAcentral. Lineage: Eukaryota; Viridiplantae; Streptophyta; Magnoliopsida; Fabales; Fabaceae.